UUCGCCACAGCCCACAAGAAAGGUGCGUCACUUGCUUCCUUCACGGUUAUUGUCAUGUUCUGCGUUCAGUAUUUGCUGGCAAUGUGAUGUAAGCAGUACGGCCUUCCGCCGCUGCAUGUCUAACACAACAAGAUUGCCUGAUCUAUGUGGAAAGGAAGCAGGAGAAAAGCCCAAAAGGAGCGACAAAGUGUGAUAAACUUAUGGCCGUCCUAUGACCGAAAAACAUAAUGAUGCCCUUCACACUUCGCCCUCGCCAGCUGACCCGAGCGACGACCUGCCAACACCACCACCACCACCACCACCGCCGCCAGUAGUCGAGGGAGAGCCAGAGGAAGAGAUGGAGCCCUCCUGGUCACUCUCUCCCCGCGCCCUCUUGGCCGGGUUUGCCGUGCUGGUCGGCGUUCUAAUCUUUCAUCCAAGUCUGGUAAAUCUUUUGGUGAGGAGCGAAAAAACUCUUGUCCCUUUAACCUACGUCACAGAAUUCCACUACUGGUCCAGAGAACACCGCAACAGCCCGUGGAACCUGGUCAUAGGAUCACAGCGCUCCCUUGCUGCCUCACGCUUCUACCCUCAACAGACCUAUGUCAUUGUCCAUGGCUUCAUGGGCUCUGGGAUGGACCCCUGGAUCAUAGACCUCAAAGACGCUCUGUUAAACCGUGAAGAUUGCAAUGUCAUUAGCGUGAGUUGGUCGGCUGGCUCAUAUACCGCAAGCUACUUCGUCAUCCAGAAAAGGGUCCCUGACGUUGGCGAUGACAUCAGCAAACUUUUGAUAUACCUCAGAGAUGCCACUGGUCUUUCUGCAGACAGGAUCCACCUCAUUGGUCAUUCUUUAGGGGCCCAUAUCGUAGGCUUCACGGGAAAGAUAAUGAAUGGGACUCUGUCCAGAAUAACAGGUUUGGACCCGGCAGGCCUAAUGUUCCAUGCAGCAGAAAUCACUGAACGGUUAGAUAAAUCAGAUGCAACUUUCGUGGAUGUCAUCCACACUCAUGGCUGCACAACUAUUCUAAAUCAGUGGAAUGACUGUUAUGGUAUAGAUGAAAACAUCGGUGAUGCAGAUUUCUGGCCGAAUGGUGGACAACGACAACCUGCUUGCGGGGAGGGAGGAGAUGGAGACCUUCACACAAAAGAGGGCAGCAGCUGUGACCAUGCAAUGGCAUAUAUAUUAUACACGGAGAGCAUUCAGUACUCAACAUAUACUACAAAGUUUCUUGCCAGACCUUGUAAUUCCUGGCCAUAUUUCAACAAUGGCUCAUGCCCCUGCUACAUGCCUGGAUCCUCUGUUCAGUACAUGGGCUAUAAUGUCAAUCCACAGGUGAGUGGUGUCUUCUUCCUUAAUACAAGCAAGACUUCACCAUAUGCUCUUAAAGAUGAAGGAUGCUUUGCUGGAUUCUCCAUUCUACAAUUAAUAGGUUUAAUCCUAAUCUCCAUUCUCACGCUGUUGAUGAUGCUCGUUGUGGUAGCAGCAGUAGUCCAGCAGUAUUACGGCAUUCCUAUCCUUACUCGGCUGAGCUCAGCCAUGGGCUUUCACGGCGGUACCUGGCAUGGCCUGCAAGAAUCUUCGUCAUCAGAGUUACUUGCAGCCGCCAAAGAAAACGAAGUCAUCACCUAGUUUUUUUGUUUCCUACCUUUCUGUAGUACCGCACAGUGUUGAUCUAAUCACAAGGGAACACAUAGAAGUACCAUGCAUCAGUAGAUUGGCGAGGGUCAUCUCAUAUCUGCAACAACGUUUGAAUCUCCUUGUACCCGAAGACCAAGAUGACAGCCAAAAUGCAACAAGGGGUCAUUGGCGCAGACAAACAUCUACAUGAUGAUGUGGUAUCCCAAUAAAAGUCACCUCCAGGAUAUGAGUAUUCUUUUUAGCCUAUAUCUUAGUGUGCACACUUGUACUUUGUUUUGUUUGUUUUGUCAAGAGUGAACUUCUAUCACCAGAAAUACACAUCUCUCUCUCCUAAAUGGAAUGGCCGAGAAUCGAACCUGCAACCACCGAGGUGGGACGCUAAUACCAUACCAGCCACGCUGCUGAGGCGCUUCUAGUACUUUAAGCACCCCAGGAGAGCAAAAAUUCUAGCCCUGGAGGAAGUUACAUUUACAUUGAAGAUAUUCUGUAUUUCACAAUGGUAAUCAUUUAAGAAAAGUGUUUUUAUACACAGGAAUCUUGGUGCUAGUGGACCUCGAUUAUGCUUAUAAGCAUUAAUAGUUAUUAAACAGCACAUUAUUAAAAAUUUCCAAUUGAUUCUAAAAGGUCAUGUGUAAAAAACAAAACUGGAAGUUUAAAGGACAGCCAUUUAAAUAAAUUAUUAUAGCACAGGAACCUAAUUGUACUUAACCUAACCACAAUCACCAAAUAGUGAAUUAAUUUUAAAAUCCAACAGAAAACACUUAAAAAGUGUUGGAACACAUCACACUUUUAGUUACAGGAAUUAACGUAUUUACCAUUAAUAUUUUGAUAAGGCCUUAUUUACUUUUACAGGGACAAUGAAAUAUUUUUCUAUUUUAUAUAUUUAUUUAAAAAAUAUUAUCACCAUCUGGUAAAAAUUCACAUUGCAACGCAGCAUAACCCAACAGCCAGAAAAAUAUGAGAGAAUUAAAGUAAUGACGUGAAUAAUAUAUACAUUAUGGUGUCAUUAUCAAUGUCAAAGAGAGAGAGGGGAUGUAACAAACUGGAUUAGGCUGCACCACCCAAGAACAAGGUACUGCCAAGUACAUUUGCAAAUACUAUGGCAACUAUGUAGCAUACUGUUAUGCCUUGUGUUUAUUUGAACCUAAAAAUGUUAUCUUCAUCAGGAGAUCUUAUCUCAUCUGCAUACCUUGCACCUUGCACAGGAAUACAAUUUUCAGUGAACAUACAAGAUAAUUCUUAAAAAAAAAAAAAAAAAAAAUUUAAAA
RNA transcript from Macrobrachium nipponense, 2886 nucleotides. It is a transcript of the gene named pancreatic triacylglycerol lipase-like, with no coding region annotated. The transcript has 11 exons. The record is from RefSeq and is a predicted model, not a curated record. Lineage: Eukaryota; Metazoa; Arthropoda; Malacostraca; Decapoda; Palaemonidae.